AUGUUAGACGAAUAACCUGGAAAGGUUAAUCAGAGAAGGUAAAAAUCCUGUAGUCGAAAACAUCUUCCCUCCUGAGUGGAUCCUGAGUACGGCGGAGCACGUGAAAUUCCGUCGGAAUCUGGGAGGACCAUCUCCCAAGGCUAAAUACUCUCUAGUGACCGAUAGUGAACCAGUACCGUGAGGGAAAGGUGAAAAGUACCCCGGAAGGGGAGUGAAAGAGAACUUGAAACCGUGUGCUUACAAGUAGUCAGAGCCCGUUAAUGGGUGAUGGCGUGCCUUUUGUAGAAUGAACCGGCGAGUUACGAUCUGAUGCAAGGUUAAGCAGAAAAUGUGGAGCCGUAGCGAAAGCGAGUCUGAAUAGGGCGAAUGAGUAUUUGGUCGUAGACCCGAAACCAGGUGAUCUACCCUUGGUCAGGUUGAAGUUCAGGUAACACUGAAUGGAGGACCGAACCGACUUACGUUGAAAAGUGAGCGGAUGAACUGAGGGUAGCGGAGAAAUUCCAAUCGAACUUGGAGAUAGCUGGUUCUCUCCGAAAUAGCUUUAGGGCUAGCCUCAAGUGAUGAUUAUUGGAGGUAGAGCACUGUUUGGACGAGGGGCCCCUCUCGGGUUACCGAAUUCAGACAAACUCCGAAUGCCAAAUAAUUUAACUUGGGAGUCAGAACAUGGGUGAUAAGGUCCGUGUUCGAAAGGGAAACAGCCCAGACCACCAGCUAAGGUCCCAAAAUAUAUGUUAAGUGGAAAAGGAUGUGGCGUUGCCCAGACAACUAGGAUGUUGGC
RNAcentral lists this ribosomal RNA (778 nucleotides) under Staphylococcus chromogenes. Its description in RNAcentral is "bacterial LSU rRNA". It matches the Rfam family "Bacterial large subunit ribosomal RNA", at positions 326 to 1105 of the family's 2925-position model. The record is from RNAcentral. Lineage: Bacteria; Bacillati; Bacillota; Bacilli; Caryophanales; Staphylococcaceae.